RNAcentral lists this ribosomal RNA (301 nucleotides) under uncultured bacterium. RNAcentral's name for it is "partial 16S ribosomal RNA". It matches the Rfam family "Bacterial small subunit ribosomal RNA", at positions 509 to 807 of the family's 1533-position model. The record is from RNAcentral.
CAGUAGCCGCGGUAAUACGAAGGGGGCUAGCGUUGUUCGGAAUUACUGGGCGUAAAGGGCGCGUAGGCGGCCAUUCAAGUUAGAUGUGGAAGCCCUGGGCUCAACCUAGGAAUUGUAUUUGAUACUGUUUGGCUUGAGUUCGGGAGAGGUGAGUGGAAUUCCCAGUGUAGAGGUGAAAUUCGUAGAUAUUGGGAAGAACACCAGUGGCGAAGGCAGCUUGCUGGGACGGUACUGACGCUGAGACGCGAAAGCGUGGGGAGCAAACAGGAUUAGAUACCCCAGUAGUCCCUGUCUCUUAUAC